UACGUAGGGCGCAAGCGUUGUCCGGAAUUAUUGGGCGUAAAGAGCUCGUAGGCGGUUUGUCGCGUCUGCUGUGAAAACCUGAGGCUCAACCUCGGGCUUGCAGUGGGUACGGGCAGACUAGAGUGCGGUAGGGGUGACUGGAAUUCCUGGUGUAGCGGUGGAAGUGCGCAGAUAUCAGGAGGAACACCGAUGGCGAAGGCAGGUCACUGGGCCGCAACUGACGCUGAGGAGCGAAAGCAUGGGGAGCGAACAGG
RNAcentral lists this ribosomal RNA (254 nucleotides) under uncultured bacterium. RNAcentral describes it as "partial 16S ribosomal RNA". It matches the Rfam family "Bacterial small subunit ribosomal RNA", at positions 524 to 776 of the family's 1533-position model. The record is from RNAcentral.